RNAcentral lists this unclassified non-coding RNA (296 nucleotides) under uncultured fungus. RNAcentral describes it as "partial contains 5.8S ribosomal RNA, internal transcribed spacer 2, and large subunit ribosomal RNA". The record is from RNAcentral. Lineage: Eukaryota; Fungi.
AACGCAACUUGCGCCAUCUGUCACAGGAUGGCAUGUCUGUUUGAGUACGAAAUCAAAAUAUGCGCCGUAUGGUGCAAUGUGGCCUGGACAGCAACACGUCUGGGCUGAAAAGGAGCCAGUCAGGCUGGACGGUCUGGCAGUGUGCUAGGGACAAGGGCGGUGUGGAUAUGGUGAGCGUGAUGGGAAUCACUCGCACUCUUCCGCAGCGCCCGCACGUCUUGUCGCUGCCAGCCCAACCAGCCCCCACACCUCAACUACCACGUCUCAAAUCAGGCAAGAAGACCCGCUGAACUUAA